ACGCACGCUGGCGGCGUGCUUAACCCAUGCAAGUCGAACGGUGAAGCGCCUUCCUUUUUGGUGGGUGUGGAUGAGUGGCGAACGGGUGAGUAACACGUGAGUAACCUGCCCCCUUCUUCUGGAUAACCGCAUGAAAGUGUGGCUAAUACGGGAUAUUCUGGGUCUGUCGCAUGAUGGGUCUGGGAAAGAUAUUGUUUCGGUGGGGGAUGGGCUCGCGGCCUAUCAGCUUGUUGGUGGGGUGAUGGCCUACCAAGGCGGUGACGGGUAGCCGGCCUGAGAGGGUGGACGGUCACACUGGGACUGAGACACGGCCCAGACUCCUACGGGAGGCAGCAGUGGGGAAUAUUGCACAAUGGGCGCAAGCCUGAUGCAGCGACGCCGCGUGAGGGAUGGAGGCCUGCGGGUUGUGAACCUCUUUCGCCAGUGAAGCAGGCCUGCCUCGUUUGUGGGUGGGUUGACGGUAGCUGGAUAAGAAGCGCCGGCUAACUACGUG
RNAcentral lists this ribosomal RNA (493 nucleotides) under uncultured bacterium. RNAcentral describes it as "partial 16S ribosomal RNA". It matches the Rfam family "Bacterial small subunit ribosomal RNA", at positions 29 to 507 of the family's 1533-position model. The record is from RNAcentral.